UAAGGCACCAUCUUGAGGACCUCCGUGAUAUCCUCCUCCUGUUCGAAAUCGAACGGGAACCUCCCCAGACCAAGAUCUGUACCCACCACACGGCCCUCCAUGUUCCAAAUCCUCGGAAACACAAACAAGAGAACCUUCAUAUCUUGUUUAGGACGGUUCAUACACCUUCCGAUGAGGGUUCGUGCAUAGCGCGCAAUGAUCUCCGAGUU
RNAcentral lists this long non-coding RNA (209 nucleotides) under Brassica napus (rape). RNAcentral describes it as "long non-coding RNA (BNAP_LNC007323)". The record is from RNAcentral. Lineage: Eukaryota; Viridiplantae; Streptophyta; Magnoliopsida; Brassicales; Brassicaceae.